RNAcentral lists this ribosomal RNA (492 nucleotides) under uncultured bacterium. RNAcentral's name for it is "partial 16S ribosomal RNA". It matches the Rfam family "Bacterial small subunit ribosomal RNA", at positions 29 to 507 of the family's 1533-position model. The record is from RNAcentral.
AGUGAACGCUGGCGGUAGGCCUAACACAUGCAAGUCGAACGGCAGCACAGUAAGAGCUUGCUCUUACGGGUGGCGAGUGGCGGACGGGUGAGGAAUACAUCGGAAUCUACUUUUUCGUGGGGGAUAACGUAGGGAAACUUACGCUAAUACCGCAUACGACCUACGGGUGAAAGCAGGGGAUCUUCGGACCUUACGCGAUUGAAUGAGCCGAUGUCGGAUUAGCUAGUUGGCGGGGUAAAGGCCCACCAAGGCGACGAUCCGUAGCUGGUCUGAGAGGAUGAUCAGCCACACUGGAACUGAGACACGGUCCAGACUCCUACGGGAGGCAGCAGUGGGGAAUAUUGGACAAUGGGCGCAAGCCUGAUCCAGCUAUACCGCGUGGGUGAAGAAGGCCUUCGGGUUGUAAAGCCCUUUUGUUGGGAAAGAAAAGCAGCAGGUUAAUACCCCGCUGUUCUGACGGUACCCAAAGAAUAAGCACCGGCUAACUUCGUG